GGUUCCUUAGUGUAGUGGUUAUCACACUGGAUUUUGAUUAUUCAGAAUCUUCCAGUAACCUGAGUUCGACUCUCGGAGGGACCU
Molecule: non-coding RNA, 84 nt
Organism: Rhizodiscina lignyota
Lineage: Eukaryota; Fungi; Ascomycota; Dothideomycetes; Aulographales; Rhizodiscinaceae
Source: the annotation of a GenBank genome assembly